AAGACCUUGCGCUUUUGGAGCGGCCGAUGCCUGAUUAGCUUGUUGGUAAGGUAAAAGCUUACCAAGGCUUCGAUCAGUAGCUGGUCUGAGAGGACGGCCAGCCACACUGGGACUGAGACACGGCCCAGACUCCUACGGGAGGCAGCAGUGGGGAAUUUUGGACAAUGGGGGCAACCCUGAUCCAGCCAUGCCGCGUGAGUGAAGAAGGCCUUCGGGUUGUAAAGCUCUUUCAGCCGGAACGAAACGGUUACGGUUAAUACCCGUGAUUACUGACGGUACCGGAAGAAGAAGCACCGGCUAACUACGUGCCAGCAGCCGCGGUAAUACGUAGGGUGCGAGCGUUAAUCGGAAUUACUGGGCGUAAAGGGUGCGCAGGCGGCUUUGUAAGUCAGAUGUGAAAUCCCCGGGCUUAACCUGGGAACU
This 423-nucleotide ribosomal RNA is filed under the name uncultured bacterium. RNAcentral describes it as "bacterial SSU rRNA". It matches the Rfam family "Bacterial small subunit ribosomal RNA", at positions 207 to 622 of the family's 1533-position model. The record is from RNAcentral.